AAUAUGAACACAACACCUGAGCUUCACACCCUUCAGAAUAUCGGUCAUUGUAGUAUGGGGUUUUCUAGGUUAACGUGCACGAUUGAAACUUUGGAAUACCGGUUCAGAAAUUAAGAACAUGAAGGACUUGGUCUGGGAUCUGAAUGAAAAGUUGGAUUCAAUGAAAGCUGAAAAGGUUGGGGUUCUCUUACAAACCCUUUAUGUUAUUUC
Molecule: long non-coding RNA, 210 nt
Organism: Lolium rigidum
Lineage: Eukaryota; Viridiplantae; Streptophyta; Magnoliopsida; Poales; Poaceae
Exons: 3
Source: RefSeq, a predicted model, not a curated record